UGGAGCAGAUAUAGCUUAUGCUCUAUGGGCAUAAUUAUCUUAAUUAAGCAAUGUACUAUAAAAUGAUUAUCUAAUUCAUCGGUUCUCAGCCAUGGCUACACAUUAAAAUCAUCUGGAAUGGUGUUUUUGGGGGUUUUUCGUUAUUGUUUGUUUAAAAAAAAACAACAACACCCAAGCCUGAGUCCAAGUACUGGGGAUUUUGAUUAAUUUAUUCUUAGUGGAGCCUGAUAUAGUUUGUCUCUGUGUCUCCACCCAGAUCUCAUGUUGAAUUGUAAUUCCCAGUGUUAAGGGAGGAACCUGGUUGGAGGUGAUGGGAUCCUGAGGAUGGAUUUUCCUCUUGCUGUUCUCAUGAUAAUGAGAGCGUUCUCAGGAAAUCUAAUGGUUUAAAAGUGGGUGGCACUUCCCCUUUUGCUCACUCUCUCUUCUUCCUGCUCCACCAUGUGAAGAUUGUGCCUGCUUCUCCUUCACCUUCUGCAAUGAUGCAUGAACUCCUCUGGAGAAAGCAAGUUCUCAUUUGUGCCGUUAUCUAUCUUCCAUUGGUUACAAGAUAAUGAGAAUCGAAAAUCAUAAUCUAAUUUCUCACAGUGGAGAACACAACCUUGAAUAAAAUAGACAUCCAUUAUUUGGAAGUGCAUUGCCAUGAAGGUACUGAGCCAAGUCCAUGUCCCUUAUUUGCACAGGCUUCUUUCAAAGUUCAGGAAGAAGCUAGGUGCAGUGGCUCACGCCUGUAAUCCCUGAACUAUGGGAGGCCGAGGAGGGGAGAUCACCUGAGAUCAGGAGUUCAAGACCAGCCGGGCGUGGUGGCCUGCGCCUGUAAUUCCAGAUACUCAAGAGGCUGAGGCAGGAGAAUCGCUUGAACCUGGGAGAUGGAGGGAACAGUGAGCCAAGAUCAUGCCACUGCACUUCAGCCUGGGCCACAGAGUGAGACUCUGUCUCAAAAAAAAAAAAAAAAAGAAAAGAAAAGAAAAGAAAAUUCCAGAAAGUGACUGGGACAGUGUGUUACAGCCAAAGGUUUUUUGAUAAAAUGUGUAAGGGUAUGGUAUUUUAACCGCUCUUGCCAACCUCUUCUGCCUCCUCUCAUCUGACCACUCCCACGUGCUGACAUGUUUCCCCUCUUGCUUGCUGCUGUUGCCAUGCCCAUACGCCUUACUGAAAUCCAAUAAAGAAGAGGGUGACUGGGGACACACUUAGUUUGGAUUUAGUGGAAUAUAUUCACAUGAUUUGCAGUCACUUUGAGUAUUAUGAAUUUACUGCUAGCCGUCCCAGUGUGUCCAGGGCUUCCAAAAACAUGCCCAUACUUCUUGCUCCAACUCACUUUGCGGAGUGACACGCAGGUCCUGGCACAGAGGAAGCACUGUGAAAUAAAACACACCCAGCAGCCCCUCUCACCAAACGUGUGGGAACAGCAAGGGGCAGCAAGACUUGGAAUCAACAGGGCCAGAAGGUAGCCUGAAGAAGACUCUUCCCAUCCUCAGCAAUGUAAAAAUGUAUGGCCCAUUUGUUUCCCAACAAAACCUCAUGACACAGAAGGUCACUCCUCUUAGAAAUCUAUUUUGAAAUAGGUGUAUAAAGUAUGUUUCCGACAUUAAAAUAAAUAAUUUUUAUGGCGAUCUUGCAAAACAGGAUCAAUUGGAAUUCUGGGAAGGAACUGCACAACCUGCAAUGCACAUGAAAACAGUUGUUCACAAAACAGUUCAUGAAAAACCCGUUUCGAUUUUCUCUUAAAUGGGCAAUUCUAAAAUUACCCUUUAAGAGGGGUGAGGGUGAAAGAAAAAUGUUCCCAACUAGCGAUAAUAAAAAAUGAAUCCUGAUCAUAGGGAAAGGUUAUAAAGGAAGAUUGAGCCAAAAUAUCAGGGGAAAACAAAGGUCAAGCAGCAGUUAAUAAAAAUAUUGUGAUGCUUUUCCAGAUUCAGUGGUUGUUUUUGUCUGUUAGCUUUUCACAAAUUGCAAUUUGUAUUCAUUUUCUCAUAUUGAAUAAAUACUCCUUCCCGUU
Long non-coding RNA from Callithrix jacchus (white-tufted-ear marmoset), 1993 nucleotides. RefSeq lists it as uncharacterized. NCBI's taxonomy places the organism in Eukaryota, Metazoa, Chordata, Mammalia, Primates, Cebidae. The record is from RefSeq and is a predicted model, not a curated record.